UUUGCCAUGUCAUCAAAAGCUGCCAGAUGGACUAUUAUCUUUCAUGUUUGAGUUGGUUCUCAACUUGUAGAAGAAUAACAUAAAAUAUUUUGGCAUCUGAGUGUAAAAAAUAAUAUUUGAACUCAUAAGUUCCUUAAUAAUACUUUAUUGUGUUACAUGUACUUUAUUACUUACUCAUAAUAUAUAAUUCAAUCUGAUUAUUGAUUAUAUAUUAUGAGUAAGGAGAGCAUUCUAAACAUUCUGGAAACUUUAAAAGAAGAGGGAAAUAGGGUCUUGUUCAAUGCUUUAGCUGUGUUUGCUCUAAGGGAGAUCAACUUAUCACAAGUAAGUAAUCAAGAUUAAGGGAGACUUGUAAUCAUGUUUGACAUUCCUUUCCAGUAAGAAAAAGAGUUGUAUGAUUAUUUGUUAGUUUUAUAGGAAUGUAUAACCCAUGUUAGCAAUGUUUUAUUUUUGUUUAACAUUUGAAUGAUUCUUUGUAUGACAUUACAAUUUGUGUAAUUUAUUUUA
Lactuca sativa (garden lettuce) is the source of this 507-nucleotide long non-coding RNA. RefSeq lists it as uncharacterized. The record is from RefSeq and is a predicted model, not a curated record. Lineage: Eukaryota; Viridiplantae; Streptophyta; Magnoliopsida; Asterales; Asteraceae.